Molecule: long non-coding RNA, 792 nt
Filed under: Pan troglodytes (chimpanzee)
Lineage: Eukaryota; Metazoa; Chordata; Mammalia; Primates; Hominidae
Description: lincRNA
Source: RNAcentral
GGAGGAAGAAGGGAGGAACAAGAGAGAGAGGUUUCCAGAAGUUCCCCAGUCAUUGAGCAUUUCUGAGGCUCUUGAUGCAUAUGCCAAGUAGUUAUGGAGAAAGACACAGCAGCUUACCUCUGCAGGCAUCAUUGUGUGAAAGGAAGACCCAGGCUCUCUCACCACCCUUCAACAGAAGCCUUUUGCUAAGGUGAUAGCUACAUGUCCAAGCCUAUUGCGUGGCAUGCAUUUUGCCUUCUGCAGCCCACUAAAGGAGUUUGCAGUUCACCCGCAAACCUCAGCGAUCCAAGCUCCCCUGGAUGACCAUCACUCACCAAGAAAAGAACAAUAACAGGACCUGUUUUGCUAAUCCAGGACUGUUCUCCAGCACUAACUCUAAAUAAUCCCUUCUGCUAGAGUCCACUUUCUGGAACCUGUUGCCUCCGUUUUCAACGUUUCCCAAACUUGGUCCGUUGUGUGAGCUGGCUGAUAAAAGUUCCAGGUAACCUUCCUUGUUCUCAAGGUCCAUUUUCCAGGAAAAUCUGAGUCAUGGUGCUGGGGAGGACACUUAAGUACAUCAGUCAAUCAGAUGAUUAUUAAAUUUAGGAAAUAGUAGAUCAACUGGAUUAACUGGAUUAAAAUGCAGAAUCCCAGGCCCCAGCCCAGACCUACUGAACCAGCAUCUGCUCUUUAACAAGAGCCCCAUGUGAUGUGUAGGACAGAAAACUUUGCGAAGCACAGGGUUAGACAGUCUCUAAAGCCUUCUGCAGAUCAGAAACGCAGCAAUUCUGAGGUUUUCUUCAAUUUUCUAAU